RNAcentral lists this ribosomal RNA (442 nucleotides) under uncultured Bacillus sp. Its description in RNAcentral is "bacterial SSU rRNA". It matches the Rfam family "Bacterial small subunit ribosomal RNA", at positions 355 to 788 of the family's 1533-position model. The record is from RNAcentral. Lineage: Bacteria; Bacillati; Bacillota; Bacilli; Caryophanales; Bacillaceae.
UAGGGAAUCUUCCGCAAUGGACGAAAGUCUGACGGAGCAACGCCGCGUGAGUGAUGAAGGUUUUCGGAUCGUAAAGCUCUGUUGUUAGGGAAGAACAAGUGCCGUUCAAAUAGGGCGGCACCUUGACGGUACCUAACCAGAAAGCCACGGCUAACUACGUGCCAGCAGCCGCGGUAAUACGUAGGUGGCAAGCGUUGUCCGGAAUUAUUGGGCGUAAAGGGCUCGCAGGCGGUUUCUUAAGUCUGAUGUGAAAGCCCCCGGCUCAACCGGGGAGGGUCAUUGGAAACUGGGGAACUUGAGUGCAGAAGAGGAGAGUGGAAUUCCACGUGUAGCGGUGAAAUGCGUAGAGAUGUGGAGGAACACCAGUGGCGAAGGCGACUCUCUGGUCUGUAACUGACGCUGAGGAGCGAAAGCGUGGGGAGCGAACAGGAUUAGAUACCCU